RNAcentral lists this transfer RNA (73 nucleotides) under Ovis aries (sheep). It matches the Rfam family "tRNA". From Rfam's summary of the family: Transfer RNA (tRNA) molecules are approximately 80 nucleotides in length. Lineage: Eukaryota; Metazoa; Chordata; Mammalia; Artiodactyla; Bovidae. The record is from Rfam by way of RNAcentral.
UCUCCGGUGGUUCAGUGGUUAGGACUCUGCGCUUUCAUUGCUGUGGGCCUGGGUUCAAUCCCUGGUCACAGAA